UUUAUGGAGAGUUUGAUCCUGGCUCAGGAUGAACGCUGGCGGCGUGCCUAAUACAUGCAAGUCGAGCGAACGGACGAGAAGCUUGCUUCUCUGAUGUUAGCGGCGGACGGGUGAGUAACACGUGGAUAACCUACCUAUAAGACUGGGAUAACUUCGGGAAACCGUAGCUAAUACCGGAUAAUAUUUUGAACCGCAUGGUUCAAAAGUGAAAGACGGUCUUGCUGUCACUUAUAGAUGGAUCCGCGCUGCAUUAGCUAGUUGGUAAGGUAACGGCUUACCAAGGCAACGAUGCAUAGCCGACCUGAGAGGGUGAUCGGCCACACUGGAACUGAGACACGGUCCAGACUCCUACGGGAGGCAGCAGUAGGGAAUCUUCCGCAAUGGGCGAAAGCCUGACGGAGCAACGCCGCGUGAGUGAUGAAGGUCUUCGGAUCGUAAAACUCUGUUAUUAGGGAAGAACAUAUGUGUAAGUAA
Molecule: ribosomal RNA, 474 nt
Filed under: Staphylococcus aureus
Lineage: Bacteria; Bacillati; Bacillota; Bacilli; Caryophanales; Staphylococcaceae
Description: bacterial SSU rRNA
Rfam family: Bacterial small subunit ribosomal RNA
Source: RNAcentral